RNAcentral lists this unclassified non-coding RNA (381 nucleotides) under uncultured bacterium. RNAcentral describes it as "contains 16S-23S intergenic spacer region". The record is from RNAcentral.
UCCGUGUUUCCACGGCAGUCCCGCUAGAGUGCCGCCUUACGGCAGGCAACUAACGGCAAGGGUUGCGCUCGUUCAAGGACUUAACCCGACGUCUCACGACACGAGCUGACGACAGCCAUGCAGCACCUGUGUAACCGUUGGUAUUGCUACCAAACCCAAUAUUUCUAUCAGUAGCAGUUACAUGUCAAACCCAGGUAAGGUUCCUCGCGUAGUUUCGAAUUAAACCACAUGUUCCACCGCUUGUGCGGACCCCCGUCAAUUCCUUUGAGUUUUAAUCUUGCGACCGUAAUUCCCAGGCGGAUCACUUAACGCGUUAGCUACGACACAGAUCAUGCUAUGCACGACCCACAUCUAGUGAUCAUCGUUUACGGCGUGGACUAC